CAUAUAACCAAGAACGCAACUUCUCCUCUGCUAAACACUUUUCUAAGCCUUCACUCUCUAAUCAACCCCCUCACAUCAAACAUCAUUACAAUAAUUUCACUCAGUUUCAUCUAAAAUCAUACUAAUUCACCGUAAUUAAUUCGCAUAAUUACUCUAAUUGCUCGAUUUCAAGCCGAUUGAUUGUGAUUUUGUGCAGUGAUUAGCGAAUUUGUGUAGUGCUGUUAUGGCGCUCACACAAGCUGACCUACCUACUAUGUAUACGCUCCUCUCCAAUUCGCUUAGUGGCGAUGAGAACCUCCGGAAGCCUGCUGAAGCUGCGCUUUCGCACUCCGAAAACCGGCCUGGUUUCUGCUCUUGUCUGCUGGAGGUGAUUACUGCCAAGGAUUUGGUGGCUCAGACGGAUGUUCGGUUACUGGCUUCUGUGUAUCUUAAGAACAGUGUUGGGAGGUACUGGAGGAAUAGGCGCGAGAGUUGGGUUGUGUACACGUGCAGUGGAAUUAGCAAGGAGGAGAAAUUGCAUUUAAGGCAAAAACUGCUGUCUCACUUGAGAGAAGAAAAUUAUCAGAUUGCUGUUACAUUGGCUGUGCUCAUUUCAAAGAUUGCUCGGUUUGACUAUCCUAAAGAAUGGCCAGAGCUAUUUUCUACCUUGUCUCAGCAGCUUCAAUCAGCGGAUGUUCUUACUUCACAAAGAAUCUUUUUGAUCCUCUUCCGAACUUUGAAGGAGUUGUCUACAAAACGUCUUGCUGCAGACCAGAGAAAUUUUGCGCAGAUAUCGUCCCAAUUCUUCGAUUUUAGCUGGCAGCUUUGGCAGAGGGAUGCACAGGCAAUACUGCAUGGUUUUUCUGUGCUUGCUCAAAGUUUAAGCUCAAAUGCUUCGGAGACGCAUGAUGACCUUUAUAUAACAUGUCAAAGAUGGUAUCUCUGCUCAAAGAUUUUACGCCAAUUGAUCAUUGCUGGGUUCCAAAGUGAUGCAAGAUCUAUGCAGGAGGUUCGACAAGUCAAAGAGGUCUCUCCUUUGUUUUUGAAGGCCAUUGAAUCAUUUCUUCCACACUAUAAAUCUUUUCGUGAGAAACAUCUGAGAUUCUGGGACUUCUUGAAGAAGGCUUGUACUAAACUGAUGAAGAUUCUAGUUACAAUUCAAAAGUGUCAUCCGUAUUCCUUCGGUGAUAAAUGUGUCCUGCCUCUUGUCAUAGACUUCACCUUGAAUACAAUCACAGAUCCUGGGCCGGAGCUAAUGUCAUUUGAGAAAUAUAUUAUUCAGUGCAUGUCAAUGGUGAAAACUAUACUUGAAUGUAAAGAAUACAAGCUAAACCUGACUGGUCGUGUGAUGGGUGAAAAUGGAGUUACAUUUGAGAAGAUUAAAGAGAGCAUGUCUAGUCAUGUUGCUGGUGUUAUUUCCUCACUUCUGCCAAGUGACCGGGUGGUGAUCUUAUGUAACAUAUUGAUACGGAGGUACUUUGUUUUGUCGGCAAGUGAUGUGGAGGAAUGGUACCAGAACCCUGAGUCUUUUCAUCAUGAGGAGGAUUCUGUUCUCUGGUCGGAAAAACUGAGGCCAUGUGCUGAAGCACUAUACAUUGUUUUGUUUGAAAAUCAUAGCCAACUUCUAGGUCCUGUUGUGGUUUCUAUACUACAAGAGGCAAUGAGUGAGUGUCCUUCUUCUGUAUCCGAAAUCACCCAGGGUUUACUUCUCAAAGAAGCUGCUUAUGGUGCUGCUGCAUACGUGUAUUAUGAGCUAUCAAAUUACUUAAGCUUCAAGGACUGGUUUAAUGGUGCAUUAUCUUUAGAGUUGACAAAUGAUCAUCCAAAUAUGCGGAUCAUCCAUAGGAAAGUUGCACUUAUUCUUGGGCAGUGGGUCUCGGAGAUUAAAGAUGACACCAGAAGAGCAGUGUAUUGCGCUUUAAUUAAAUUGCUGCAGGACAAUGAUAUAUGUGUCAGGCUGGCAGCAGCUCGGUCAUUGUAUUUUCAUGUAGAAGAUGCAACUUUCUCCGAGCAGGAGUUUUCCGAUCUUUUUCCCGUCUGUUGGUGCUCGUGCUUUAAAUUAGUAGAGGAAGUUCAAGAGUUUGACUCCAAGGUUCAAGUUCUCAAUACCAUAUCUGCUUUAAUUACACAUGUCAAUGGUGUCACUCCUUAUGCCAACAAUUUGGUGCAAUUCUUUCAGAAGGCAUGGGAAGAAUCUUCUGGUGAAAAUCUUCUGCAGAUUCAGCUUCUUACUGCUUUGAAGAAUUUUGUUGUCGCACUGGGUUAUCAGUCACCCUUGUGUUACAACAUGUUAGUGCCCAUUUUGCAAGGUGGACUCAUUAUAAAUAGUCCAGAUGAACUUCUAGAAGACUAUAUGCUGUUAUGGGAAGCUACAAUUUCUCAUUCUCCUUCAAUGGUACCUCAACUGUUAGGACUCUUCCCACAUCUUGUGGAGAUCUUGAACAGAAGUUCUGCUCACGUGAAGGUUGCUGCCAAUAUUAUUGAAGGAUACAUACUUUUGGGUGGUAAUGAGUUUCUAAAUCUUCAUGCGUCUAGUGUUUCCAGACUUCUAGAUUUCGUUGUCGAAAAUAUCAACGAUAAAGGGUUGCUGUCAGUUAUUCCAGUCAUUGACCUUCUAAUUCAGUGUUUCCCUGUCGAGGUUCCCCAGUUAAUUAGCAGCACUCUUCAGAAAUUGAUUGUUAUAUGCUUAAUUGGAGGAGACAAUCAUGAUCCUUCUAAAACAACUGUAAAAGCUUCUUCAGCAGCUAUUUUGGCAAGGAUUUUGGUAAUGAACACCAAUUACCUUGCACAGUUAACAACACAGCCAUCAUUAUUGGUACUACUCCAGCAGGCAGGUUUUUUAAGUGAAGAAGGCGUACUUCUUUGUCUGGUUGACAUAUGGCUUGACAAGAUUGACAAUGUGACAUCGAUUCAGAGAAAGACAUUUGGUUUAGCCCUUUCUAUUAUAUUGACACUAAAAUUACCUCAAGUGCUUGACAAGCUUGAUCAGAUCCUGAGUGCUUGUACAAGUGUUAUACUGGGUGGAAGCGAAGAUUUAACGGAAGAGUCCAGCAGCGAUAAUAUGAGCUCUGCCAGACCUCAGUUUCCUACCAAAGAGUACAGGAAGAGACAGAUCAAACUAUCUGACCCUAUACACCAGUUAUCACUGGAGAACUCAGUGCGCGAAAAUCUUCAAACCUGUGCUGCCCUUCACGGGAAGUCAUUUGAUUCCGCCAUUGGUAGAAUGCAUCCUGCAGCUUUUGCUCAACUAAAGCAAGCUUUGAAUAUGACAUAAGCCAGAACUGAUGUUCCAGCCAUUUGCUGGUAUUGUGUGAUAUUCCAGUCAUUUGGUGGCGAUGUGCAGGGGAAUGGGCGUGCUCGUGCAGGAAAUGGCUCUGGGGCAUUUUCUUGUUCUUUUUGUCACUCAACAAAGUUGCAAUUGCUGUAUACAGAUUGUCCAAAAAUUGUAAAUAUUGUUGUCCUUGUAUGACAUAGUUUUUAGGAACAUAGGGAUAUUGAGCAUCUGAGUUUCAAAUUUAGAAACAUAGGGAUAUUGAGCAUCUGAGUUUCAAAAGUUAAGUUAUUACAUACAUGUAGUGGGGGAGAGCUGUUGUCCAAUGAUUAAUGUCAAUGGUUUUUGUUGUGCAGUAAUGUAAUUGACAAAAACAGACUACUGUCGGAAGCCAAAGGCAGCUUAAUGAGGAUUUGGGAUUACUUGAUUUAUCAUAUUAUA
Daucus carota subsp. sativus is the source of this 3691-nucleotide RNA transcript. RefSeq lists it as uncharacterized. The transcript is spliced from 24 exons. The record is from RefSeq and is a predicted model, not a curated record. Lineage: Eukaryota; Viridiplantae; Streptophyta; Magnoliopsida; Apiales; Apiaceae.